GAUGAACGCUAGCUACAGGCUUAACACAUGCAAGUCGAGGGGUAGCAUGUUGGUUGCUUGCAACCGAUGAUGACGACCGGCGCACGGGUGAGUAACGCGUAUCCAACUUGGCUUAUACUUAGGGAUAACCCGUUGAAAGACGGCCUAAUACCUAAUGGUUUAUAAUAGUUGCAUGACUGUUAUAAUAAAGAUUUAUCGGUAUAAGAUAGGGAUGCGUCUGAUUAGUUAGUUGGUGAGGUAACGGCUCACCAAGGCAUCGAUCAGUAGGGGUUCUGAGAGGAAGGUCCCCCACAUUGGAACUGAGACACGGUCCAAACUCCUACGGGAGGCAGCAGUGAGGAAUAUUGGUCAAUGGACGCAAGUCUGAACCAGCCAAGUAGCGUGCAGGAUGACGGCCCUAUGGGUUGUAAACUGCUUUUAUGUGAGAAUAAAGUUAACUACGUGUAGUUAUUUGCAUGUAUCACAUGAAUAAGGACCGGCUAAUUCCGUGCCAGCAGCCGCGGUAAUACGGAAGGUCCAGGCGUUAUCCGGAUUUAUUGGGUUUAAAGGGAGCGUAGGCCGUUUGGUAAGCGUGCUGUGAAAUUUAGAGGCUCAACCUCUACCGUGCAGCGCGAACUGUCAGACUUGAGUGCGUAGUAGGUAGGCGGAAUUCGUGGUGUAGCGGUGAAAUGCUUAGAUAUCACGAAGAACUCCGAUUGCGAAGGCAGCUUACCGUAUCGCAACUGACGCUGAUGCUCGAAGGUGUGGGUAUCGAACAGGAUUAGAUACCCUGGUAGUCCGCACAGUAAACGAUGGAUGCUCGCUGUUGGCUAUUAUAGUCAGUGGCUUAGCGAAAGCGUUAAGCAUCCCACCUGGGGAGUACGCCGGCAACGGUGAAACUCAAAGGAAUUGACGGGGGCCCGCACAAGCGGAGGAACAUGUGGUUUAAUUCGAUGAUACGCGAGGAACCUUACCCGGGCUUGAACUGCAGGAGAACGAUUCAGAGAUGAUGAGGUCCUUCGGGACUCCUGUGGAGGUGCUGCAUGGUUGUCGUCAGCUCGUGCCGUGAGGUGUCGGCUUAAGUGCCAUAACGAGCGCAACCCCUUUUCUUAGUUGCCAUCGGGUAAUGCCGGGCACUCUGAGGAUACUGCCACCGUAAGGUGUGAGGAAGGUGGGGAUGACGUCAAAUCAGCACGGCCCUUACGUCCGGGGCUACACACGUGUUACAAUGGGGCAUACAGAGUGUUGGUUGCAUGUAAAUGUAAUCUAAUCUUGAAAGUGCUUCUCAGUUCGGACUGGGGUCUGCAACCCGACCCCACGAAGCUGGAUUCGCUAGUAAUCGCGCAUCAGCCAUGGCGCGGUGAAUACGUUCCCGGGCCU
Molecule: ribosomal RNA, 1359 nt
Filed under: uncultured bacterium
Lineage: Bacteria
Description: bacterial SSU rRNA
Rfam family: Bacterial small subunit ribosomal RNA
Source: RNAcentral